Molecule: ribosomal RNA, 655 nt
Filed under: uncultured Lachnospiraceae bacterium
Lineage: Bacteria; Bacillati; Bacillota; Clostridia; Lachnospirales; Lachnospiraceae
Description: bacterial SSU rRNA
Rfam family: Bacterial small subunit ribosomal RNA
Source: RNAcentral
AGCGAGAGAGAGCUGCUUUCUCGAGCGAGUGGCGAACGGGUGAGUAACGCGUGAGGAACCUGCCUCAAAGAGGAGGACAACAGUUGGAAACGACUGCUAAUACCGCAUAAGCCCACGGUGCCGCAUGGCACAGAGGGAAAAGGAGCAAUCCGCUUUGAGAUGGCCUCGCGUCCGAUUAGCUAGUUGGUGAGGUAACGGCCCACCAAGGCAACGAUCGGUAGCCGGACUGAGAGGUUGAACGGCCACAUUGGGACUGAGACACGGCCCAGACUCCUACGGGAGGCAGCAGUGGGGAAUAUUGCACAAUGGGGGAAACCCUGAUGCAGCGACGCCGCGUGGAGGAAGAAGGUCUUCGGAUUGUAAACUCCUGUUGUUGGGGAAGAUAAUGACGGUACCCAACAAGGAAGUGACGGCUAACUACGUGCCAGCAGCCGCGGUAAAACGUAGGUCACAAGCGUUGUCCGGAAUUACUGGGUGUAAAGGGAGCGCAGGCGGGAAGACAAGUUGGAAGUGAAAUCUAUGGGCUCAACCCAUAAACUGCUUUCAAAACUGUUUUUCUUGAGUAGUGCAGAGGUAGGCGGAAUUCCCGGUGUAGCGGUGGAAUGCGUAGAUAUCGGGAGGAACACCAGUGGCGAAGGCGGCCUACUGGGCACCA